UACAGAGGGUGCAAGCGUUAAUCGGAAUUACUGGGCGUAAAGCGUGCGCAGGCGGUUAUGUAAGACCGAUGUGAAAUCCCCGGGCUUAACCUGGGAACUGCAUUGGUGACUGGCGGGCUAGAGUAUGGCAGAGGGGGGUAGAAUUCCACGUGUAGCAGUGAAAUGCGUAGAGAUGUGGAGGAAUACCGAUGGCGAAGGCAGCCCCCUGGGCCAAUACUGACGCUCAUGCACGAAAGCGUGGGGAGCAAACAGG
RNAcentral lists this ribosomal RNA (253 nucleotides) under uncultured bacterium. RNAcentral describes it as "partial 16S ribosomal RNA". It matches the Rfam family "Bacterial small subunit ribosomal RNA", at positions 524 to 776 of the family's 1533-position model. The record is from RNAcentral.